This 309-nucleotide long non-coding RNA is filed under the name Rosa chinensis. Its description in RNAcentral is "sRNA RchiOBHm_Chr7g0224621". The record is from RNAcentral. Lineage: Eukaryota; Viridiplantae; Streptophyta; Magnoliopsida; Rosales; Rosaceae.
GGUAAUGUUUUUCUUCCAGACUUUAUUUUCAUUUGGAUUUUACCUUUUCUUCUAUUGAACAAUAUACAAUGAUGUUCCUUCCUCCUUUGUCUUCUCAUAUCUGCUAGGCAAAUAUUCCUGCUGCUUACCUAAGUGCCAAUAUGGAGUGGAGUGAACAACAGGAGAUUCUUAGAGCACCGAGUUCUGAAUAUUAUAAAUACAAGCUGUUAUAUGUCACCCCUGAAAAAGUUGCCAGAGUGAGCCUGAGUUAAAUGUUGACCAGUUGGAUAGUGCACUGAAAGACAAUGUGGCAGCUGAAACUGAUGCUCC